This 407-nucleotide ribosomal RNA is filed under the name Verrucomicrobiota bacterium. Its description in RNAcentral is "Verrucomicrobia bacterium partial 16S ribosomal RNA". It matches the Rfam family "Bacterial small subunit ribosomal RNA", at positions 355 to 776 of the family's 1533-position model. The record is from RNAcentral. Lineage: Bacteria; Pseudomonadati; Verrucomicrobiota.
UGGGGAAUAUUGGACAAUGGAGGAAACUCUGAUCCAGCAAUUCUGUGUGUGUGAAGAAGGUUUUAGGACUGUAAAACACUUUUAUUAGGGAAGAAAAAAAUGACGGUACCUACAGAAGAAGCAACGGCUAAAUACGUGCCAGCAGCCGCGGUAAUACGUAUGUUGCGAGCGUUAUCCGGAAUUAUUGGGCUUAAAGGGCAUCUAGGCGGUAAGACAAGUUGAAGGUGAAAACCUGUGGCUCAACCAUAGGCUUGCCUACAAAACUGGUGAACUAGAGUACUGGAAAGGUGGGUGGAACUACACGAGUAGAGGUGAAAUUCGUAGAUAUGUGUAGGAAUGCCGGUGAUGAAGAUGACUCACUGGACCGAAACUGACGCUGAAGUGCGAAAGCUAGGGGAGCAAACAGG